AACCAGUCAGCCCUAAAAGAAAUCAGUUCUGAAUAUUCACUGGAAGGACUGAUGUUGAAAUUGAAGCUCCAAUACUUUGGCCACCUGAUGUGAAGAGUCGACUCAUUGGAAAAGACGCUGAUGCUGGGAAAGAUUGAAGGCAGGAGGAGAAAGGGACGGCAGAAGAUGAGAUGGUUGGAUGGCAUCACCGACUCAAUGGACAUGGGUCUGAGCAAGCUCCGGGAGCUGGUGUUGAACAGGGAAGCCUGGCCUGCUGCUGUCCAUGGGGUCGCAAAGAGCUGGACACGACUGAGCUACUGAACUGAACUGAGGUCAGAUAUGACUGUGGUCAUAUCUUUAAGAUCACCACCAGAGGGCGGGGCUUCCUUCAAAUGCGAUUCCUUUCUGUAUUCAGGAGCUGGUUUGACUUGCCUCCUCUGUAGCCACAAGACAGGUGACUGCUGCUGUGCAGAAAGGGGUCCCCAUUUUCUGAGUGAGGAGCUUCUGUAACAUCCAGCUGAGACUACCUUUGAUAGAUUUGAUGUUUCUAGGGAACAAGGACUGUCCCCAGAUGUUUUCUGCCACUCACUCAGUUCUGGUCAUCUUCUUAAUACUUGGAGGGACCAAUGGUGACUCAGUGAACCAGACAGAAGGCCCAGUGACUGUCUCAGAGGGAGCUCUCAUGACCUUGAACUGCGCUUACCAGACCACGUAUUCAGAUCCCUAUCUUUUUUGGUACAUCCAGCAUCUCAACAAAGCUCCUCAACUCCUCCUGAAGGGCUCAACAGCAGACAAGAAGAAAGCAACGAGUUCCAUCAGCCUCACCAUCACAGACUUACAGCUCGAGGACUCAGCGGUGUAUUUCUGUGCUCUGAGAGACCACAGUGAUGCUGGUGCCUGAGGGAGCCCCACAGAAACCUCAGAUGUCAACAUGUGGAGUCCCCCAACUAUGAACACCUUCGUGAGAUUCUCAUAAGGACAGGAACAGGUAGAGGGGUUAGAAGUGAAAACCUCACUGUAAGGAAAAUGCUAUCUCUUUGGCUCAGAGAGCGUAUCUCAAAGUGUUAUUCAUUAAAAAUACUUUUAUCUUCAAUUCUUUAUC
Dama dama (fallow deer) is the source of this 1081-nucleotide non-coding RNA. Lineage: Eukaryota; Metazoa; Chordata; Mammalia; Artiodactyla; Cervidae. The record is from the annotation of a RefSeq genome assembly.